Molecule: non-coding RNA, 107 nt
Organism: Capsicum annuum
Lineage: Eukaryota; Viridiplantae; Streptophyta; Magnoliopsida; Solanales; Solanaceae
Source: Rfam
UAUUAAUGAUGUGGACAGUCUCAAAGAAAAUCUUUAAACCUUUCUCAUGCAUCAUAUAGGUUCUCAUCUGGCUUCUGUUUGAAGCACACAAUCUCACUGCAUAGUCU